GACUAAUUGAUGAAACUAAUAUUCUUGUAUGUUAGUGAAACUGAUACUCAUAGGAUAUGUUCACUUGUGAAAUCCUGAGGUAGUUUUCUAGAAUAGUUUUUCAAUAAAAUUGAAAAACUGAGUUUCAUGUUCAUAUGUGCCAGUUUUCUAAUAGAGAAUUAGAAAAUUAGUUUUCUAGUUUUCAAAAAUUUAACCAAGAUUUGGAAAAUAGCUUUAAAUUGUUUUACACUAUUUUUGGCCAAAUGUAUAAAUGGAGAAUUCAGAAACUAGUUUUUCUAGUUUUCAAAAAUUUAAC
Molecule: unclassified non-coding RNA, 295 nt
Filed under: Hevea brasiliensis (rubber tree)
Lineage: Eukaryota; Viridiplantae; Streptophyta; Magnoliopsida; Malpighiales; Euphorbiaceae
Source: RNAcentral